GUGUCAGCAGCCGCGGUAAGACAGAGGUGGCGAGCGUUGUUCGGAUUUAUUGGGCGUAAAGCGUACGCAGGCGGUUUGGUAAGUCAGAGGUGAAAGACCACAGCUUAACUGUGGCACUGCCUUUGAUACUGCCUUUCUAGAGUGCAUGAGGGGGAAGCGGAAUUCCGAGUGUAGAGGUGAAAUUCGUAGAUAUUCGGAGGAACACCGGUGGCGAAGGCGGCUUCCUGGCAUGUAACUGACGCUCAUGUACGAAAGCGUGGGUAGCAAACAGGAUUAGAUACCCCAGUAGUCC
This 292-nucleotide ribosomal RNA is filed under the name uncultured bacterium. Its description in RNAcentral is "partial 16S ribosomal RNA". It matches the Rfam family "Bacterial small subunit ribosomal RNA", at positions 505 to 796 of the family's 1533-position model. The record is from RNAcentral.